AUUUUGAUGGCUGAUUUAGGCGGUAAAUUGUAAAUUUAUAUAUGGAUAAUCCUCAGAUUU
RNAcentral lists this transfer RNA (60 nucleotides) under Deroceras reticulatum. RNAcentral's name for it is "tRNA-Tyr". Lineage: Eukaryota; Metazoa; Mollusca; Gastropoda; Stylommatophora; Agriolimacidae. The record is from RNAcentral.